This 344-nucleotide ribosomal RNA is filed under the name uncultured eukaryote. Its description in RNAcentral is "SSU rRNA". It matches the Rfam family "Eukaryotic small subunit ribosomal RNA", at positions 567 to 912 of the family's 1831-position model. The record is from RNAcentral.
CCAGCAGCCGCGGUAAUUCCAGCUCCAAUAGCGUAUAUUAAAGUUGUUGCAGUUAAAAAGCUCGUAGUUGGAUUUCUGGUAGGAGCGACCAUUCCGGACUUGAUUGUUCGUGUAUUGUGUUGCCUCCAGCCAUCCUUGUGGAGAACUUUUCUUGCAUUAAUUUGUAGGGAUUGGGACCCGCAUCGUUUACUGUGAAAAAAUUAGAGUGUUUAAAGCAGGCAAUCGCUUGAAUACAUUAGCAUGGAAUAAUAAGAUAGGACUUUGGUACUAUUUUGUUGGUUUGCAUACCAAAUUAAUGAUCAACAGGAACAGUUUGAGGAUAUUCGUAUGAACAUGUCAGAGGU